RNAcentral lists this ribosomal RNA (393 nucleotides) under uncultured bacterium. RNAcentral describes it as "partial 16S ribosomal RNA". It matches the Rfam family "Bacterial small subunit ribosomal RNA", at positions 523 to 918 of the family's 1533-position model. The record is from RNAcentral.
AUACGGAGGAUGCGAGCGUUAUCCGGAUUUAUUGGGUUUAAAGGGUGCGUAGGCUGUUAGUUAAGUUAGGGGUGAAAUGCCGGUGCUCAACGCCGGAGCUGCCCUUGAUACUGGCUGGCUGGAGUGCGGAUGCCGUUGGAGGAAUGCGUGGUGUAGCGGUGAAAUGCUUAGAGAUCACUCAGAACACCGAUUGCGAAGGCAUCUGACUAAUCCGUCACUGACGCGGAGGCACGAAAGCGUGGGGAUAGAACAGGAUUAGAUACCCUGGUAUUCCACGCCGUAAACGAUGAUGACUAACCGUCGGCGAUAGAAUGUCGGUGGCCAAGCGAAAGCGAUAAGUCAUCCACCUGGGGAGUACGUCGGCAACGAUGAAACUCAAAUGAAUUGACGGGG